This is an RNA transcript of Diprion similis, 2993 nucleotides long. It is a transcript of the gene named vacuolar protein sorting-associated protein 53 homolog, with no coding region annotated. The record is from RefSeq and is a predicted model, not a curated record. The transcript has 13 exons. Lineage: Eukaryota; Metazoa; Arthropoda; Insecta; Hymenoptera; Diprionidae.
UAUAGUCAUGGCUGCGCCCUGUAAUUCCAGAAGUCUGUGACUUAUCGCGGUUUGACAGAUGCUACCAAUUAGUAAUUCAUUCCAAUAGAAACCGCGAAAAUUUUUUGUCCUGUGUGACAAUUAAAAAAAAAAAAAUGGCAUCCCGGCAAGACGAUGAAUUUGAGGAAUUACAAUCCACAACGUACAUAUAUCCUUCUGAUGUUCAAACCGUUAUCGAACAGGUUUUACCGAGUACCGAUCCCUUGGAUCAGCCAAACUUCAAUGCUGUGGAUUACAUAAAUUCCUUGUUUCCCACUGAGCAAUCGUUAUCCAACAUAGAUGAUGUGAUAAGUAAAAUGGAAUUCAAAAUUUGUUCCAUUGAUCAGGAAAUUCGAUCAGUUGUCAGGGGGCAAACUAAUGUCGGGCAGGAUGGCCGUGUUGCGUUGGAAGAUGCUCAUAAAGUGAUCAGACAGUUAUUCGUCCAUAUUAAGGACAUAAAGGAUAAGGCAGAGCAAUCUGAAGAAACUGUUAAGGAAAUUACUCGAGAUAUAAAACAACUGGACUUUGCUAAGAGGAAUUUAACAUCAUCUAUCACUGCUUUGAAUCAUUUACACAUGUUGGUCGGAGGUGUAGAUAGUUUGAAAGCUCUAACGCAGAAAAAACAAUAUGGGGAGAUAGUCAUGCCUCUUCAAGCUAUUAUGGAAGUUAUGCAACAUUUUAGUAAUUACAUGGAUAUUCCUCAAAUUAAACAGCUUUCUGAUCAGGUGAAACAGAUUCAAGUCGAGUUGGCUGAACAAAUAACUGCCGAUUUUCGAGAAGCAUUUUCUGGUCAGAAUCCCAAACACUUUGCUCAACUAAGCGAAGGGUGUCUUGUUAUGUCAGUCUUAGAUCCUAGAGUGAAGAAAGAUCUGCUGAGCUGGUUUAUUGCCAUGCAAUUACAAGAGUACUCUCACUUGUUCGAUGAGAAUCAAGAUUCAGCUUGGUUGGAUAAAAUUGACAGACGAUAUGCUUGGAUAAAAAAACAUUUAUUAGAAUUUGAGAGCAAGUUUGGUUCAAUAUUUCCUCAAAACUGGGAAGUCUCUGAAAGGAUUGCUGUGCAGUUCUGUCAUAUGACGCGAGAAGACUUGAGCAAACUUAUGGAGCGAAGGCGACAUGAAAUUGAUGUCAAACUUCUUCUUUACGCAAUACAGAGGACUACAAGUUUUGAAAAUUUAUUAGCUAAAAGGUUUGCCGGACUUACGCUGGAAAAUUCUGACACACUCUCUGAAAAAAAAACCACAAAUCCUUUCGAAGAAAAUGAAGAGGCUAAAAACCCCUUUGAGGAAGGGUAUACCGAGCAAGGAGAGCCAGAAAAAUCUAACACAUCUUUGUUCACUCGUUUAAUUGGAAAGUGUUUUGAACCAUACCUGAAUAUUUAUAUAGAAAGUCUGGAUAGAAAUUUGGCAGACUUGAUGGACAAAUUUUUAAAUGAUUGUAAAUUGCAACCUCCCGGAGCAAAAGAGCUCGAUGGAGUGGAGGGGCCGAGUAGUGUGUUAUCUUCAUGUGCAGAUCUUUUUGUGUUUUACAAAAAGUGUAUGAUACAAUGUACACAACUUAGUACAGGCUUUAUCAUGCUUAAUCUGACUUCCAUUUUCCAAAAGUAUCUUCGAGAAUAUGCAUUGAAACUGUUGCAGAAUAAUUUACCAAAAAUUGGCAGUGGUGCUAGUAUUGGGACCAGUAUGAGUAACAUAACACGCGAUCUUCGAGACCUGUCAACAGCCGGUCUUAUACAAAAUUUCCAAAGCUUUCUGAAAGAAGGUGAAGCUACUAGAUUUAGUAAGGAGGAACAAUCUCGGAUUUGCUGUAUUCUGACAACAGCGGAAUAUUGUCUCGAGACAACCCAACAACUAGAAGAAAAGCUGAGAGAAAAGACAGAUGCACAGUUUUCGGAGAAGAUUAAUUUGUCACAGGAACAAGAUAUAUUUCACAGUGUUAUAUCCAACUGUAUUCAGCUGUUAGUACAAGAUCUGGAGUCUGCUUGUGAAUCCGCAUUGACUGCAAUGAGCAAGGUACAAUGGAUACACAUUGAAAGUGUUGGAGACCAAAGUGCCUACGUCAGCACUAUCGUUUCACAUCUUAGGCAGAAUAUUCCCUCUAUUCGAGAAAGAUUAUCAUCUUGUAGAAAAUAUUUUACACAACUUUGUGUUAAAUUCGCGAGUUCAUUCAUUCCUAAAGUAGUGCAGCAGCUGUAUAAAUGUAAGCCUUUGAACACAGUUGGGGCAGAACAGUUGUUACUAGAUGUUCACAUGCUCAAGACAGCACUACUCGAUUUACCAUCAACUGGUUAUCAAAUACAAAGAAAAGCACCUGCCACAUACACAAAGGUAGUUGUCAAGGGUAUGACUAAAGCUGAGAUGAUAUUGAAGGUUGUAAUGUCUCCUGCAGAAUCUCCGAGUGCCUUUGCGGACCAGUGUAGGAAACUGCUUCCUGAUUUACCAACCGCAGAAUUUCAGAAAAUACUCGAUAUGAAGGGACUACGAAGAACAGAACAGAUGCAAUUAGUGGACCAAUUUAGGCAUAGUGGAAGCAGCUUGUUGUUGGGAGAUACCACGAACGUUACUCAAGAUAGUCCAGAGCAUGAGGCUGGACGAAUUAAAAGGUUAGAAAAAUUGAUAAAGAAAAGGAUGUAAAUGAUUGGACUUUUUGGGUCCUCUUUUAAAAAUAGUUUUUUACACCGUGAUAGUGGCUGGAAAAUUUACAUGUCAAUUUCCAAUACCGAUAGAAAACCGAAACGCUAAUGAAAACUAAGCAUUUGAUAUGCUGAAUACAGCAUGGAAAAAAUUUCGGGUAAGAAGGUUAUAACAUUUACUUCAGUUGCUGAAUGCGUCACUAUAAAUUAUAUUAUAUUCAUAAGACCUGUACUGUACAAUUAUGUCUAAACAUCGCAUUUUCUGAUACAGCUGAGUGUAUAUAGUAGCACGGACAAACUACAAGGUAGACUACAUGCGUAUAAUAAAAAAUAUUACUGUCAUUUA